ACUUUAGGAGACAACGGGUUUUAUUUUUUAACACAUUUAAUAAUCACUUUAUUAAUUACAACUGUACAAAGUGUAUAAAACAUAAUACAGCAUUCACAACACAACCCACUGUCAUGGGAUAAACUUUCUCAACAUUACAGCAGAACAUUAGUAAAGCGUAAACUGCAGUCAGGUCACUUUUUACAGGGCUGGAAGUAGCACAGAGAACCUGUAUUACAGUGAAAAUGUGGACACUGGGUCAGUAUCGUGUUAGUACAAUAUAUAUAUACAGUCUUAAAAAUGUAGAUGUAAGCUUUACAUUUAGGCUGCAAACAUUUGUGAUUAUGGUCAUUUCUGCUAGUCCUCUUAAGGGAUUCUAAUACUAUGUUAGCACUAAGCUAAUGGAAAUUCAGAUCAAUGAUUUUGGCCCUUCUUGCUCAAACACAGACAUAGAAAGCUUGUAAAAUACGUUACAUAUUUGAUCUUAAAUUUCAAACGGACACAAACAUAUAUUUUAUCAUAUAUGUUACAGUUUUACAGGAGAGCCCAGCACAGUCUUUCAGCAGAUCCCUAUGAUCUUAAAUCUAAAAAAUGAGGGGGUUUGGUAAAGGUUCUUUAACUAAUAGUGUUGUAGUAUUCAAGUUCAAUCGUCUCAGCCAUAUUUGGCUUGUCUCAUUAUUCUUGUCUCAUAUUUGCAGUUUCAUUAUUGGUCUUGACUCAAUAGGUCCCUGUCUUGGUCUUGACUCAGUUUGGAUAUAUCCAGUCUUGGACUUGACUCAGACUGAAUAUGUCCUGGUCUUGUCUCAGACUUAACAUGUCCCGGGAUUUGUCUUGACUCUGACUCAAUAGGUCCCUGUCUUGGUCUUGACUCAGACUCUAUAUGUCCCGGUUUCAGUGUUGAAUCAGAUUGGAUAUAUCCAGUCCUGGUCGUGUCUCAGACUCAACAUGUCCUGGUCUUGGACUAGACUCAGACUCAGUGUUUCCCGGUCUUGGUCUUAACUUGCACUGGAUAUGUCCUGGUCUUAGUCUUGAUUUGGACUGUAUAUGUCCUGGUUUUGGUGUUGAAUCUUGUCUCAGACUCAACAUGUCCAGGUAUUGGACCUCACUAGGACUCUAUAUGUCCCGGUAUUGGUCUUGAGUUGGACUGGAUAUGUCGCAGUCCUGGACUUGACUCGGACUGCCCCGGUCUUGACUCAGACUUGCUAUGUCCUGGGCUCGGUCUUAACUCAGACUCAAAAUGUCCUUGACUCAGACUUAACAAGUCUCAGUCUUAGUCUUGACUCAGUUUGGAUAUAUCCAGUCUUGGACUUGACUCCGACGGAAUAUGUCCUGGUCUUAGUCUUGAAUUGGACUGUAUAUGUCCUGGUUUUGGUGUUGAAUCUUGUCUCAGACUCAACAUGUCCAGGUAUUGGACCUCACUAGGACUUAAUAUGUCCCGCUAUUGGUCUUGAGUUGGAC
Molecule: long non-coding RNA, 1437 nt
Filed under: Astyanax mexicanus (Mexican tetra)
Lineage: Eukaryota; Metazoa; Chordata; Actinopteri; Characiformes; Acestrorhamphidae
Description: lncRNA (ENSAMXG00005004302.1)
Source: RNAcentral